This 604-nucleotide ribosomal RNA is filed under the name Acinetobacter radioresistens. RNAcentral describes it as "bacterial SSU rRNA". It matches the Rfam family "Bacterial small subunit ribosomal RNA", at positions 48 to 652 of the family's 1533-position model. The record is from RNAcentral. Lineage: Bacteria; Pseudomonadati; Pseudomonadota; Gammaproteobacteria; Moraxellales; Moraxellaceae.
CUAACACAUGCAAGUCGAGCGGAUGAGGGGAGCUUGCUUCCGAAUCCAGCGGCGGACGGGUGAGUAAUGUAUGGGUAUCUGCCUGUUCGUGGUGGACAACGUUUCGAAAGGAACGCUAAUACCGCAUACGUCCUACGGUGGAAAGCAGGGGACCUUCGGGCCUUGCGCUAUCAGAUGAGCCUAGGUCGGAUUAGCUAGUUGGUGAGGUAAAGGCUCACCAAGGCGACGAUCCGUAGCGGGUCUGAGAGGAUGAUCCGCCACACUGGUACUGAGACACGGACCAGACUCCUACGGGAAGCAGCAGUGAGGAAUAUUGGACAAUGGGGGGAAGCCUGAUCCAGCCAUGCCGCGUGUAGGAUGACGGCCUUAUGGGUUGUAAACUACUUUUAGGAGGGGAUAAACCUACUCACGUGUGAGUAGUUGAAGGUACUAGAAGAAUAAGCACCGGCUAACUCCGUGCCAGCAGCCGCGGUAAUACGGAGGGUGCGAGCGUUAUCCGGAUUUAUUGGGUUUAAAGGGUCCGUAGGCGGAUUAAUAAGUCAGUGGUGAAAUCCCGCAGCUCAACUGUGGAACUGCCAUUGAUACUGGUACUCUUGAGUAUAGU